This 825-nucleotide ribosomal RNA is filed under the name uncultured bacterium. RNAcentral describes it as "bacterial SSU rRNA". It matches the Rfam family "Bacterial small subunit ribosomal RNA", at positions 609 to 1432 of the family's 1533-position model. The record is from RNAcentral.
UUAACUNUGAGCUUGCUUUCGAUACGGGCUGACUUGAGGGAGGUAGGGGAGAAUGGAAUUCCUGGUGGAGCGGUGGAAUGCGCAGAUAUCAGGAGGAACACCGGUGGCGAAGGCGGUUCUCUGGACCUUUCCUGACGCUGAGAAGCGAAAGCGUGGGGAGCGAACAGGCUUGGAUACCCUGGUAGUCCACGCUGUAAACGGUGGGUACUAGGUGUGGGGGACAUUCCACGUUCUCCGUGCCGUAGCUAACGCAUUAAGUACCCCGCCUGGGGAGUACGGCCGCAAGGCUAAAACUCAAAGGAAUUGACGGGGCCCCGCACAAGCGGCGGAGCAUGCGGAUUAAUUCGAUGCAACGCGAAGAACCUUACCUGGGUUUGACAUAUGCCGGGAGCGUUCAGAGAUGGGCGUGCCUUUUUGGUCGGUUUACAGGUGGUGCAUGGCUGUCGUCAGCUCGUGUCGUGAGAUGUUGGGUUAAGUCCCGCAACGAGCGCAACCCUCGUCCAAUGUUGCCAGCGGGUUAUGCCGGGGACUCAUUGGAGACCGCCGGGGUCAACUCGGAGGAAGGUGGGGAUGACGUCAAGUCAUCAUGCCCCUUAUGUCCAGGGCUUCACGCAUGCUACAAUGGCCGGUACAGUGAGCUGCGAGCCUGUGAGGGUGAGCGAAUCUCUAAAAGCCGGUCUCAGUUCGGAUUGGGGUCUGCAACUCGACCCCAUGAAGUCGGAGUCGCUAGUAAUCGCAGAUCAGCAACGCUGCGGUGAAUACGUUCCCGGGGCUUGUACACACCGCCCGUCAAGUCAUGAAAGUCGGUAACACCCGAAGCCGGUG